GUCCACGCCAUAAACGAUGACAACUGGAUGUCGGAGGGGUCUGCCCUUCGGUGUCGUAGCUAACGCGUUAAGUUGUCCGCCUGGGGAGUACGGCCGCAAGGUUGAAACUCAAAUGAAUUGACGGGGACCCGCACAAGCGGUGGAGCAUGUGGUUUAAUUCGAUGCAACGCGAAGAACCUUACCUGGUCUUGACAUGUCUGGAAUUCUGCAGAGAUGCGGAAGUGCCUUCGGGAACCAGAACACAGGUGCUGCAUGGCUGUCGU
Molecule: ribosomal RNA, 263 nt
Filed under: uncultured bacterium
Lineage: Bacteria
Description: partial 16S ribosomal RNA
Rfam family: Bacterial small subunit ribosomal RNA
Source: RNAcentral